RNAcentral lists this ribosomal RNA (409 nucleotides) under uncultured bacterium. RNAcentral describes it as "bacterial SSU rRNA". It matches the Rfam family "Bacterial small subunit ribosomal RNA", at positions 354 to 777 of the family's 1533-position model. The record is from RNAcentral.
GUGGGGAAUAUUGCGCAAUGGGGGGAACCCUGACGCAGCAACGCCGCGUGAAGGAGGAAGUAUUUCGGUAUGUAAACUUCUAUCAGCAGGGAAGAAGGAAGUGACGGUACCUGCAUAAGAAGCCCCGGCUAAUUACGUGCCAGCAGCCGCGGUAAUACGUAAGGGGCAAGCGUUAUCCGGAUUUACUGGGUGUAAAGGGUGAGUAGGCGGUUCGGCAAGUCAUAUGUGAAAUACCCGGGCUUAACCCGGGAACCGCAUAAGAAACUGUCGAACUUGAGUACAGGAGAGGUAAGCGGAAUUCCCAGUGUAGCGGUGAAAUGCGUAGAUAUUGGGAAGAACACCGGUGGCGAAGGCGGCUUACUGGACUGAAACUGACGCUGAGUCACGAAAGCGUGGGGAGCGAACAGGA